AAAUGAAUAGACGGGGGCCCGCACAAGCGGAGGAACAUGUGGUUUAAUUCGAUGAUACGCGAGGAACCUUACCUGGGCUUAAAUGUAUAGUGCAUAAUGUGGAAACACAUUUUUCCUUCGGGACUCUUUACAAGGUGCUGCAUGGUUGUCGUCAGCUCGUGCCGUGAGGUGUCGGGUUAAGUCCCAUAACGAGCGCAACCCUCAUCGUUAGUUGCCAACACGUGAAGGUGGGGACUCUAGCGAGACUGCCGGUGUAAACCGUGAGGAAGGUGGGGAUGACGUCAAAUCAGCACGGCCCUUAUGUCCAGGGCUACACACGUGUUACAAUGGCCAAUACAAAGGGCAGCCACCUGGUGACAGGGCGCUAAUCCUCAAAGUUGGUCUUAGUUCGGAUCGGAGUCUGCAACUCGACUCCGUGAAGCUGGAUUCGCUAGUAAUCGUAGAUCAGCCAUGCUACGGUGAAUACGUUCCCGGGCCUUGUACACACCGCCCGU
This 494-nucleotide ribosomal RNA is filed under the name uncultured bacterium. RNAcentral describes it as "bacterial SSU rRNA". It matches the Rfam family "Bacterial small subunit ribosomal RNA", at positions 903 to 1397 of the family's 1533-position model. The record is from RNAcentral.